Molecule: small nuclear RNA, 104 nt
Filed under: Capra hircus (goat)
Lineage: Eukaryota; Metazoa; Chordata; Mammalia; Artiodactyla; Bovidae
Source: RNAcentral
GUGCUUGCUUCGGCAGCACGUAUACUAAAAUUGGAACGCUACAGAGAUUAGCAUGGCCCCUGUGCAAGGAUGACACACAAAUUUGUGAAGCGUUCCAUAUGUUU